Long non-coding RNA from Aethalodelphis obliquidens (Pacific white-sided dolphin), 950 nucleotides. RefSeq lists it as uncharacterized. The transcript is spliced from 4 exons. The record is from RefSeq and is a predicted model, not a curated record. NCBI's taxonomy places the organism in Eukaryota, Metazoa, Chordata, Mammalia, Artiodactyla, Delphinidae.
GAGAGAGAGAGACAGAGACAGAGAGAGAGACAGAGAGAGAGACAGAGAGAGAGAGUUGUGUGAUUCGGGCCAGGGUGAGGCAGGGAAUUGGGAAGGGAAUUGAAAGGCUGAUCUCAUUAGCACUUUCUUCCUCAGUCAGCCCCAGGCCAGCAGGCAGAGCUGAUCUAGGCACAACAGUGGGACACUGAGAAAGCCCAGGCCCCCUGCAAGGAAGGUCUGGGGAACAGCUAGGAAGGAGGAUUCAGGAGGCUGACUCCCUUGCCCACCUGACCACGGAUUUCUUCCCAGCGCCACUGUGCUUGGACUCUUUGGUUCCCGAAAGGACCAAGGAGUGACCCGCGGCAGGCCACCUGCAGCAGCAGCAGAAACAGAAGCAGCAGCAGCAGCAGCAGCAGCAGCAGCUCCCGGGUAGCUGGGCUUGCUGCCCCCCUUGCCCCACAGCACGCUCUGCAUUUUCUUAGGGGAAGAGAUGCCCUGCUCUCCCACGCCCUGCCUUUCCACAACCGAAGACAGUCCUCGCGGAGCCGAGGACAGGGAAGAGCCUGUCACGUGACGGUAAUUCUCCCUGACUUGGAACUUCGAGUGUCUGGGAGUGUCCCCGGGAUCCUCGGGUCUGCUGGGCUUGGCCUGGCCUCCUCCUCUGCGGGCGCCAGUAUAACAGUGAUGAACAGCCGCCUCUGCCCUCCCUAUAGACAUAGUGCCCUCCCUACCAUUCAAAGGCCUGAAUCAUCUCACAGGCCACAAGUAAGACCCUCCACUGGGAUAUUUUUCAAGGUACGUAUGGAUAAAACCUUAAGGAAUCAGGAGGUAACCUUGUGCUAGAGAUUAUCCAUGCCCCACAUAACACUCAAAAUGGUACGCUCUUUGUCAUUUGGGCAGUGAGUGAGCUGGUCCAUAAACCCCAUCUUAUAGCUAACUUCUCAGACCACUCCUGGUACCACUUUUGUUAG